GCGUAACGCGUGGGAAUCUGCGUAACGCGUGGGAAUCUGGCGUAACGCGUGGGAAUCUGCGUAACGCGUGGGAAUCUGUGUUGGAAGGCCUUAGGGUUGUAAGAUGCGUAACGCGUGGGAAUCUGCGUAACGCGUGGGAAUCUGCGUAACGCGUGGGAAUCUGCGUAACGCGUGGGAAUCUGGCGUAACGCUGGGAAUCUGGCGUAACGCGUGGGAAUCUGCGUAACGCGUGGGAAUCUGUGUUGGAAGGCCUUAGGGUUGUAA
This 264-nucleotide ribosomal RNA is filed under the name uncultured Sphingomonas sp. RNAcentral's name for it is "partial 16S rRNA". The record is from RNAcentral. Lineage: Bacteria; Pseudomonadati; Pseudomonadota; Alphaproteobacteria; Sphingomonadales; Sphingomonadaceae.